GGAGUCCGAGUUGUAAUUUGUAGAAGAUGCUUUGGGUUGUGGGUUCGGCCUAAGUUCCUUGGAACAGGACGUCAUAGAGGGUGAGAAUCCCGUAUGUGGCCGAGGCCCGCGCCUAUGUAAAGCUCUUUCAACGAGUCGAGUUGUUUGGGAAUGCAGCUCAAAAUGGGUGGUAAAUUUCAUCUAAAGCUAAAUAUGGGCCAGAGACCGAUAGCGCACAAGUAGAGUGAUCGAAAGAUGAAAAGCACUUUGGAAAGAGAGUUAAACAGUACGUGAAAUUGUUGAAAGGGAAGCGCUUGCACCCAGACUUGGGCGCUGCUGAUCACCUUGCGGUCUCCGCGAGUGCACUCGACAGCGCACAGGCCAGCAUCGGUUCGGGUGGCUGGAUAAAGGCCGUAGGAACGUAGCUCCCUUCGGGGAGUGUUAUAGCCUACGGUGCCAUGCAGCCCAGCCGGACCGAGGACCGCGCCUUCGGGCUAGGAUGCUGGCGUAAUGGGUGUAAGCGACCCGUCUUGAAACACGGACCAAGGAGUCUAACAUCUAUGCGAGUGUUUGGGUGGCAAACCCAUACGCGGAAUGAAAGUGAACGUAGGUGAGAACCCCUUUGGGGCGCAUCAUCGACCGAUCCUGAUGUCUUCGGAUGGAUUUGAGUAAGAGCAUAGCUGUUGGGACCCGAAAGAUGGUGAACUAUGCCUGAAUAGGGUGAAGCCAGAGGAAACUCUGGUGGAGGCUCGCAGCGGUUCUGACGUGCAAAUCGAUCGUCAAAUUUGGGCAUAGGGGCGAAAGACUAAUCGAACCAUCUAGUAGCUGGUUCCUGCCGAAGUUUC
This 824-nucleotide ribosomal RNA is filed under the name Erysiphe sp. RNAcentral describes it as "eukaryotic LSU rRNA". It matches the Rfam family "Eukaryotic large subunit ribosomal RNA", at positions 133 to 970 of the family's 3401-position model. Lineage: Eukaryota; Fungi; Ascomycota; Leotiomycetes; Helotiales; Erysiphaceae. The record is from RNAcentral.